This 492-nucleotide ribosomal RNA is filed under the name uncultured bacterium. RNAcentral describes it as "partial 16S ribosomal RNA". It matches the Rfam family "Bacterial small subunit ribosomal RNA", at positions 29 to 507 of the family's 1533-position model. The record is from RNAcentral.
AGUGAACGCUGGCGGUAGGCCUAACACAUGCAAGUCGAACGGCAGCACAGUAAGAGCUUGCUCUUACGGGUGGCGAGUGGCGGACGGGUGAGGAAUACAUCGGAAUCUACUUUUUCGUGGGGGAUAACGUAGGGAAACUUACGCUAAUACCGCAUACGACCUACGGGUGAAAGCAGGGGAUCUUCGGACCUUGCGCGAUUGAAUGAGCCGAUGUCGGAGUAGCUAGUUGGCGGGGUAAAGACCCACCAAGGCGACGAUCCGUAGCUGGUCUGAGAGGAUGAUCAGCCACACUGGAACUGAGACACGGUCCAGACUCCUACGGGAGGCAGCAGUGGGGAAUAUUGGACAAUGGGCGCAAGCCUGAUCCAGCCAGACCGCGUGGGUGAAGAAGGCCUUCGGGUUGUAAAGCCCUUUUGUUGGGAAAGAAAAGCAGCAGGUUAAUACCCCGCUGUUCUGACGGUACCCAAAGAAUAAGCACCGGCUAACUUCGUG